Molecule: ribosomal RNA, 3299 nt
Organism: Gossypium arboreum
Lineage: Eukaryota; Viridiplantae; Streptophyta; Magnoliopsida; Malvales; Malvaceae
Source: RefSeq, a predicted model, not a curated record
CGACCCCAAGUCAGCGGAAUUACCACCGAGUUUAAGCAUAUCAAUAAGCGGAGGAAAAGAAACUUACCAGAUUCCCUAGUAAUGGCAAGCGAAACCGAAAAGCCCGACUUGAGAAUCGAGCGCCACUAGUGUUCGAAUUAUAGUCGGAGAAGCGCCCCGGCGGAUAGGGCCCAAGUCCCCGGAAAGGGGCGCCGGAGAGGUGAGAGCCCCGUCGUGCGGACCUUGUCGCACCACGAGGUACCGUUCACUGAGUCGGGUUGUUUGAGAAUACAGCCCUAAUCGGGCGGUAAAUUUCAUCUAAGGCUAAAUACGGGCGAGAGACUGAUAGCGAACAAGUACCGCGAGGGAAAAAUGAAAAGGACUUUGAAAAGAGAGUCAAAAAGUACUUGAAAUUGUCGGGAGGGAAGCGGCUGGGGGCCGGCGAUGCGCCCCGGUCGGAUGUGAAAUGGCGAGAGCCGAUCUGCCGAUUGACUCGGGCCGUGGAUCGACGUGGGUUGUGGCUGUGGCCCAAGCCCGGGCCUUUGAUACGCCUGUGGAGACAUUGUCGCCUCAAUCGUGGGAUCCAGCACGCGCUGUCUCGGCAUGCUUCGGCACCUGUGUUCUCCGGGUGUCGACCUGGGGGCUCCCCAUUCGGCCCGUCUUGAAACACGGACCAAGGAGUCUGACAUGUGUGCGAGUUAACGGGCUAGAAAACCCGUAAGGCGCAAGGACGCUGAUUGGCGGGAUCCCUCACGGGUGCACUGUCGACCGAUUUUGAUCUUCCGAGAAGGGUUGAGUGAGAGCAUGCUGUCGGGACCCGAAAGAUGGUAAACUAUACCGCGAGGGUGAAGCGGAGGAAACUCGGUGGAGGCCCACAACGAUCUUGACGUGCAAAUCGUUCGUCGACUUGGGUAUAGGGCGAAAGACUAAUCGAACCGUCUAGUAGUCGGUUCCUCCAAGUUUCCUCGGGAUAUUUGGAGCCCUUAGCGAGUUCUAUCGGGUAAAGCCAAUGAUUAGAGGCAUCGGGCGCAAUGCCUCGACCUAUUCUCAAACUUUAUAUAGGUAGGACGGUGCGGCCGCUUCGUUGAGCCGGUCACUAAUCGAGAGCUCCAAGUGGGCCAUUUUGGUAAGUAGAAUUGGUGAUGCAGGAUGAACCGAAAGCUGGGUUACGAUUGCUCAAUCUGGCGCUAACCUAUAACCCACAAAGGAUGUUGGUCGAUUAAGACAGCAGGACGGUGGUCAUGGAAGUCGAAAAUUCGCUAAAGAGUGUGUAACAACUUACCUGCCAAAUCAGCUACCCUUGAAAAUGGAUGGCGCUUAAGCGCGCGACCUAUACCUGGCUGUCAGGGCAAGAGCCAGACCCCGAAGAGUAGGAGGGCGCGGCGGUCUCUGCAAAACCCGGAGCGCGAGCUCGGGCAGAGUGGCCGUCGGUGUAGAUCUUGGUGGUAGUAGCAAAUAUUCAAAUGAGAACUUUGAAGGCCGAAGAGGAGAAAGGCUCCAUGUGAACGCCACUUGCACAUGGGUUAGUCGAUCCUAAGAGACGGGAAGCCGUCCGAUAGCUGCUCAUGAGCUCGAAAGAGAAUUAGGUUAAAAUUCACGAACCGGACGCGACGGCUAACAGCAACGUUAGGGAGUCUGAGAGACGUCAUGGGGCCUCGGGAAGAGUUAUCUUUUCUGCUUAACGGCCGCCCACCUUGAAACGGCUCACCGGAGGUAGGGUCCAGUGAUCGGAAGAGCACCGCACUCACGUGGUGUCCCAGACGCCUCAGCAGCCCUUGAAAAUCAGGAUCGAGUGUCGUCUCGCUGGUCGUACUCAUAGCCGCAUCAGUCUCAAGGUGAACAACCUCGGUCAAUGGAAUAAUGUAGGCAAGGGAAGUCACAAAAUGGAUCCGUAACCUCGGGAAAAGGAUUAGCUCGAGGGUUGAGCACAGGGGUGCCGCCCCGAACCCGUCACCGCCGGCCUUCGCUCGAAUCGCUUAGUGGUUGAGGCGGGUCGCCGAAAGUGCCACGGGAUGGAUGGAACGGCUCCUUCGGGGCCUUCUUCAGGCGAUUUAACAAUCGACUUCGUAAAUGGUACGGACAUGGGGAAUCGAUUGUUUAAUUAAAACAAAGCAUUACGAUGGUCCUGCGGAUGCUCACGCAAUGUGAUUUACGCCAAUGCUCAAUGUCAAAGUGAAGAAAUUCAACCAAGCGUGGGUAAACGGCGGAGUAACUAUGACUCUCUUAAGGUAGCCAAAUGCCUCGUCAUCUAAUUAGUGACGCACAUGAAUGGAUUAACGAGAUUCCUACCGUCCCUUUCUACUAUCCAACGAAACUAUAGCCAAGGAACGGGCUUGGCGUAAUCAGCAGGAAAGAAGACCUGUUGAGCUUGACACUAGUCCGACUUUGUGAAAUGACUUGAAAGGUGUAGGAUAAGUGGGAGCUUUGGUAAAUUGAAAUACCACUACUUUUAACGUUAUUUUACUUAUUCCAGAAUCGGAGGCGGCAUGACCCUCUUUUUGGACCCAAGGUCGACUUCGGUACGGUGAUCCGAGCGUAAGACAUUGUCGGUAGGGAGUUUGGUGGCGGCACAUCCGUUAAAAGAUAACGCAGUGUCCUAAGAUGAGCUCAACGAGAAGUAAAUCUCGUGUGGAACAAAGGGUAAAAGCUCGUUUGAUUUCGAUUUCCAGAUGAAUACGAAUCGUGAAAGCGUAGCCUAUCGAUCCUUUAGACAUUGAAUUUGAAGCUAGAGGUUUCGUAAAAUUUACCACAGGAUAAGCGGCUUGUGGGCGAUAGCGCUCAUAGCGAUGUUGUUUUUUAUCCUUCGAUGUUGGCUCUUCCUAUCAUUGUGAAGCGUAAUUCACCAAGUGUUGGAUUGUUCACCCACCAAUAGGGAACGUGAGUGGGUUUAGACCGUCGUGACACAAAGUUAGUUUUACCCUCUUGAUGGUCGCGACGCAAUAGUAAUUCAACCUAGUACAAGAGGAACCUUUGAUUCGCACAAUUGGCCAUCGCGCUUGGUUGAAAAGCCGAUGUGGCACGGUUACCGUCUUGUUGGAUUAUGGUGAACGCCUCUAAGUCGAAUCGGGCUAGAAGCGACGACGCACCUGCCGCCCGAUUGUCGACCCUCGGUGGGGCCUUUGCCCCCCAAGGGCACGUCGUCGAGGUGCAAUGACACCGCUGGCGGACAAGUCGCGGCGCCUCCUUGGAGCGCAAUUCCCAUCGAGCGGCUGGUAGAUUCCUUUGCAGAUUACUUAAAUGCGCAACAGGGUAUUGUAACUGGCAGAGUGGCCUUGCUGCCACGAUCCACUGAGAUUCAGCCCUUUGUCGCUUCGAUUCGU